GCAUAUCAAUAAGCGGAGGAAAAGAAACUAACAAGGAUUCCCCUAGUAACUGCGAGUGAAGCGGGAAGAGCUCAAAUUUAAAAUCUGGCGGCUUUGCCGUCCGAGUUGUAAUUUAGAGAAGCGUUUUCCGCGCCGGACCGUGUACAAGUCUCCUGGAACGGAGCGUCAUAGAGGGUGAGAAUCCCGUCUUUGACACGGACCCCCGGUGCUCUGUGAUACGCUCUCGAAGAGUCGAGUUGUUUGGGAAUGCAGCUCAAAAUGGGUGGUGAACUCCAUCUAAAGCUAAAUAUUGGCGAGAGACCGAUAGCGAACAAGUACCGUGAGGGAAAGAUGAAAAGCACUUUGGAAAGAGAGUGAAACAGUACGUGAAAUUGCUGAAAGGGAAACGCUUGAAGUCAGUCGCGUCUGCCAGAAUUCAGCCUUAUGGUGUAUUUUCUGACAGACGGGCCAGCAUCACUUUCGAUUGCCGGAAAAAGGCAGAGGGAAUGUGGCACCUCUUCGGAGGUGUGUUAUAGCCCUUUGUCGUAUACGGUGGUUGGGAGUGAGGACCGCCUAUUUUGUAGGAUGCUGGCGUAAUGGCUUUAAACGACCCGUCUUGAAACACGGACCAAGGAGUCUAACAUGCCCGCGAGUGUUCGGGUGGAAAACCCGUGCGCGUAAUGAAAGUGAAAGUUGGGAAGGCUGUCGCGGCCUGCACCGACGCCCGGACCUGAGAUUUAUCGACGGUUCUGCGGUAGAGCGUGUAUGUUGGGACCCGAAAGAUGGUGAACUAUGCCUGAAUAGGGUGAAGCCAGAGGAAACUCUGGUGGAGGCUCGUAGCGAUUCUGACGUGCAAAUCGAUCGUCAAAUUUGGGUAUAGGGGCGAAAGACUAAUCGAACCAUCUAGUAGCUGGUUCCUGCCG
This 902-nucleotide ribosomal RNA is filed under the name Dichostereum effuscatum. Its description in RNAcentral is "LSU rRNA". It matches the Rfam family "Eukaryotic large subunit ribosomal RNA", at positions 38 to 963 of the family's 3401-position model. Lineage: Eukaryota; Fungi; Basidiomycota; Agaricomycetes; Russulales; Lachnocladiaceae. The record is from RNAcentral.